This is a long non-coding RNA of Alligator sinensis (Chinese alligator), 423 nucleotides long. RefSeq lists it as uncharacterized. The record is from RefSeq and is a predicted model, not a curated record. NCBI's taxonomy places the organism in Eukaryota, Metazoa, Chordata, Crocodylia, Alligatoridae. The transcript is spliced from 4 exons.
ACAAGUGGAUGGAGCACAACAGCUGCCCAAGAUCAAUCAGGCGGCGGCGGCGGGGAGCGCGCCGAGGGCUGCCGGAGCUUCCCCGCCUGGGCGCGGGGAUCAGCCCCGGCCCCCGCCCGCCUUUCCUCUCCUCUCCUCAGCGCUUCUGGAUCCAAGCAGAAUGCGGCUACUGUCAUUCCACUGGGGCUUGUGGCUGACCUGUGCACUCCAUGACCCCCAGAGCCAGUCAGACUGGAGAGGAAGAUGCAUGUGCACCAGGAGAAAGAGGAGUUUGAAGGGACAUCAAAGCCAGCAGCAUCCUGAAUUGAGUAUGCUGUGUCCUGCAGGGCAAGGCUGCCCAGGCAAAAUCAAAGUUGGAGUGAGAACCAGUUACAGUCAAUCAUCAUUAUUGACUCCAAGGUGAACACAGGCCGACAACGCGAG